GAGAGAGAAGCAUAAAAGUAGGAUGUGCAACUAGCUUGAAACUAGGGGGAGGGGGUUCAAGUCCCUCAUCUCUUG
Molecule: transfer RNA, 75 nt
Filed under: Rhacodactylus willihenkeli
Lineage: Eukaryota; Metazoa; Chordata; Lepidosauria; Squamata; Diplodactylidae
Description: Rhacodactylus sp. KGeiss-2023a tRNA-Ser
Rfam family: tRNA
About the family: Transfer RNA (tRNA) molecules are approximately 80 nucleotides in length. Their secondary structure includes four short double-helical elements and three loops (D, anti-codon, and T loops).
Source: RNAcentral